Molecule: ribosomal RNA, 426 nt
Filed under: uncultured Pseudomonadaceae bacterium
Lineage: Bacteria; Pseudomonadati; Pseudomonadota; Gammaproteobacteria; Pseudomonadales; Pseudomonadaceae
Description: bacterial SSU rRNA
Rfam family: Bacterial small subunit ribosomal RNA
Source: RNAcentral
GGGGAAUAUUGGACAAUGGGCGAAAGCCUGAUCCAGCCAUGCCGCGUGUGUGAAGAAGGUCUUCGGAUUGUAAAGCACUUUAAGUUGGGAGGAAGGGUUGUAGAUUAAUACUCUGCAAUUUUGACGUUACCGACAGAAUAAGCACCGGCUAACUUCGUGCCAGCAGCCGCGGUAAUACGAAGGGUGCAAGCGUUAAUCGGAAUUACUGGGCGUAAAGCGCGCGUAGGUGGUUCGUUAAGUUGGAUGUGAAAGCCCCGGGCUCAACCUGGGAACUGCAUCCAAAACUGGCGAGCUAGAGUACGGUAGAGGGUGGUGGAACUCCGAGUGUAGAGGUGAAAUUCGUAGAUAUUCGGAAGAACACCAGUGGCGAAGGCGGCCAACUGGCUCGAUACUGACGCUGAGGUGCGAAAGCGUGGGGAGCAAACA